Long non-coding RNA from Alexandromys fortis (reed vole), 500 nucleotides. RefSeq lists it as uncharacterized. The record is from RefSeq and is a predicted model, not a curated record. The transcript is spliced from 3 exons. NCBI's taxonomy places the organism in Eukaryota, Metazoa, Chordata, Mammalia, Rodentia, Cricetidae.
GGGGCAUCCAUUCGGACAACAGUGUGGAAGUUAUCAUUAUAUCUCUGCGACUUGUGAAACAUGACAUCAAACUCUGUUAUUUGUCCUUAACUUGAGAACAAAAGGACUGCCCAAAAGGAUAUGAGGAAGGAAGGGAUGAUCGUUCGGCAUUGAACAACAAGUUGAUGUGCUCCUCCCUGGGGAAGACUGUCUGUCCUUUCCCAGCAUCCCAGUUGUCUGCAGCUCCCUAUGCAGAGAAAAGAAAAUCAUGAGCUGAAGAGAUGGCUUUAUGUGUGCUCGCUGCACACCUGCGAGGAUCUGACCGCAGGACCCAUACCAAUAUGGCUGCACUGGCAUCUGUACCCACAAUGCUGUGGGGUUAGGGACAGAAGCAUUGCUGGGGCCAGCCCAGCUCACGGUUUAGCAGGAGACCCUGACUCAAGAGAGAGGAUGCUGGAGCAGGACACCGUGCAUCCUCUCUGGUUUCUGUGAGUGCAUGUACAGGUGAGCACUCGAGCACA